AUGUUUUCGGAUACUGCCAUACAAUUACAACCUAUCUUUGCUCAAUGGGUACAAAAUAUCCAUGCUACUGCGCCUGGCGUAACAGCUCUUGGUGCAACAACAAGUACUAGCUUAACGUGGGGAGGCGGCGAGUUAGUAGCAGUAGGUGGCAAAGUGGCUUUGUUACCUAUUCCAUUAGGAACCGUAGAUUUUUUAGUCCAUCACAUUCAUGCAUUUACCAUACAUGUGACUGUAUUAAUACUUUUGAAAGGUGUUUUAUUUGCUCGGAGUUCCCGUUUGAUACCCGAUAAAGAAGCAAAACUAAAGGGAUGUUGA
Molecule: ribosomal RNA, 315 nt
Filed under: Triticum aestivum (bread wheat)
Lineage: Eukaryota; Viridiplantae; Streptophyta; Magnoliopsida; Poales; Poaceae
Description: partial small subunit ribosomal RNA
Source: RNAcentral